Molecule: ribosomal RNA, 728 nt
Filed under: Leptocylindrus danicus
Lineage: Eukaryota; Bacillariophyta; Leptocylindrophyceae; Leptocylindrales; Leptocylindraceae
Description: partial Bacterial large subunit ribosomal RNA
Rfam family: Bacterial large subunit ribosomal RNA
Source: RNAcentral
UCAAGUGAAGAAGCGCAUACGGUGGAUGCCUUGGCAGUCAGAGGCGAUGAAAGACGUGGUAGCCUGCGAAAAGCUUCGGGGAGUCGGCAAACAGACUUUGAUCCGGAGAUCUCUGAAUGGGGGAACCCAGCCAUCAUAAGAUGGUUAUCACACACUGAAUACAUAGGUGUGUGAGGCGAACCAGGGGAACUGAAACAUCUAAGUACCCUGAGGAAAAGAAAUCAACCGAGAUUCCCUUAGUAGUGGCGAGCGAACGGGGACUAGCCCUUAAGCUUCUUUGAUUUUAGCGGAACGCUCUGGAAAGUGCGGCCAUAGUGGGUGAUAGCCCUGUACGCGAAAGGAUCUUAGAAGUGAAAUCGAGUAGGACGGAGCACGAGAAACUUUGUCUGAAUAUGGGGGGACCAUCCUCCAAGGCUAAAUACUACUGACUGACCGAUAGUGAACCAGUACCGUGAGGGAAAGGCGAAAAGAACCCCGGAGAGGGGAGUGAAAUAGAACCUGAAACCGUGUGCGUACAAGCAGUGGGAGCAGACUUGUUCUGUGACUGCGUACCUUUUGUAUAAUGGGUCAGCGACUUAAGGUCUGUAGCAAGCUUAACCGUUUAGGGGAGGCGUAGGGAAACCGAGUCUUAAUAGGGCGAAUUAGUUGCAGGCUUUAGACCCGAAACCCGGCGAUCUAGGCAUGACCAGGAUGAAGGUGCAGUAACAUGCACUGGAGGUCCGAACCGA